CCAUAGUGAACAUACCUCUCGUUGCCUCGGCGGGGAAGGGGAAUCACCGAUCAGCCUCAGGGUUGAGGGGCUACCCGGGUAUCACUACCCUGUAGCUCCAGGUGACCUCCGUCGCCGCCGCUGGCCCGCGAAACUCUGUUUUAUUUUGCAACUCUGAAUCUUGAAACAAAUAAGUUAAAACUUUCAACAACGGAUCUCUUGGUUCUGGCAUCGAUGAAGAACGCAGCGAAAUGCGAUAAGUAAUGUGAAUUGCAGAAUUCAGUGAAUCAUCGAAUCUUUGAACGCACAUUGCGCCCAUUAGUAUUCUAGUGGGCAUGCCUGUUCGAGCGUCAUUUCAACCCUUAAGCCCUGUUGCUUAGCGUUGGGAGCCCGCUGGCCUCUGGCCUGCAGCUCCUCAAAGGUAGUGGCGGAGUUAGUGCAUACUCUAGGCGUAGUAAUCUUUAUCUCGCCUCUGUAGUUGCGCUGGCGCCUGCCGUAAAACCCCUAAUCUUUCAACGGUUGACCUCGGAUCAGGUAGGAAUACCCGCUGAACUUAAGCAUAUCAAUA
Molecule: ribosomal RNA, 547 nt
Filed under: Xylaria sp.
Lineage: Eukaryota; Fungi; Ascomycota; Sordariomycetes; Xylariales; Xylariaceae
Description: eukaryotic LSU rRNA
Rfam family: 5.8S ribosomal RNA (bases 179-332)
Source: RNAcentral